GUGGCUGCUGUGGUGGAUGGGGGUGUGGUUCUUAGGCCAAUGGAGUUAUGUUCCCAGGGAGAUUAUGACUACCUCUGCUGCGUCAUGCAGGUAGCCAGAAAAGUGAGGGAAAACUGGCAGUUACAGGUCUCACCCAGCUCCCGCACAGCCCAAAGGGCUGUUCUCACUCCCACCGUGGCCCUCCCUGAAACAGCACCAAGUUUGUUUCCAGACAGCGGCUGAGCAGGGCUGAGAGCUUUCCUCAGUCUACCAGCCUUCCAGCUGAUAAAGCAAGCAGGGCUUCCAGGUUUCAUGUCUCCCUGCCUGCCACAGCUUCUGUGCUUUGUCUGCACUCCCAAUUCACCCCUUCCUCUGGGUUCUGUCCAGGAAACUUCAUGCUUGGUCAAAAUUGUUACAAAGUUCAGCUGGAAGUUUCCUUCUCCCUGUGUUUUUUUCCCAAUUCCUCUGGCAGCCCUCCCCAAGGACUCCUGUGAGACAAAGUCAGAAAUGACUUCCCUGGGGACUGAGAGAGACAACAGGGCUCUUCUCGAUGCUUCUUCUACCCCUGUAUUUUGCUCAGCUCUCUGAAGUUAUCUCAGUUCCAGGAGGCCUGCAUUAUUGUUGUCGAGUUCAAAAUCAUCUUUCAAAAUCAAGAAUUGACAUCAGUUCAUUACCCACGGGUGAGUACACACAUACACACACAUGCACACACACACCAUAUUUACACAUAGGUGCUGAGAAUCUGUUCAGUGAUAUAUUUGCAAAUAAUCUUCAAAAAUAUGAUUUUCAUAUUUGUGUGGACCUAUUUAUGCAUUUCCUCAUUCCUCAUAUCAAUUAACCUAUUAACCAAGAAUUACAAGAAUAUAGAAAGGAAGAAUGAGA
RNAcentral lists this long non-coding RNA (861 nucleotides) under Homo sapiens (human). RNAcentral's name for it is "HSALNT0112416". The record is from RNAcentral. Lineage: Eukaryota; Metazoa; Chordata; Mammalia; Primates; Hominidae.